This 239-nucleotide ribosomal RNA is filed under the name uncultured bacterium. RNAcentral describes it as "partial 16S ribosomal RNA". It matches the Rfam family "Bacterial small subunit ribosomal RNA", at positions 15 to 245 of the family's 1533-position model. The record is from RNAcentral.
GAUCAUGGCUCAGGAUGAACGCUAGCUACAGGCUUAACACAUGCAAGUCGAGGGGCAGCAUGAACUUAGCUUGCUAAGUUUGAUGGCGACCGGCGCACGGGUGAGUAACACGUAUCCAACCUGCCGAUGACUCGGGGAUAGCCUUUCGGAAGAAAGAUUAAUACCCGAUGGCAUAGUUCUUCCGCAUGGUGGAACUAUUAAAGAAUUUCGGUCAUCGAUGGGGAUGCGUUCCAUUUAGG